CCCGUCUGGUUUGGGGGUCUACCCUUUCUCAUCCUGGCCUGCCAGCCAAGUAAAAAGAGAAAUAACUACAGACCUCUGCAACUGCUGAUACCGGUUCAGGAUGAAUUGCAGAUGCUGUGAGAGAGUCAGUGGUUCAACCAGCCAACAAACAGGAAAAGCUCAAGGCGGAGUCUUAACUGUCAGCAACUCUACCC
Molecule: long non-coding RNA, 194 nt
Organism: Alosa alosa (allis shad)
Lineage: Eukaryota; Metazoa; Chordata; Actinopteri; Clupeiformes; Clupeidae
Exons: 3
Source: RefSeq, a predicted model, not a curated record